RNAcentral lists this ribosomal RNA (304 nucleotides) under Klebsiella pneumoniae. Its description in RNAcentral is "bacterial SSU rRNA". It matches the Rfam family "Bacterial small subunit ribosomal RNA", at positions 572 to 875 of the family's 1533-position model. Lineage: Bacteria; Pseudomonadati; Pseudomonadota; Gammaproteobacteria; Enterobacterales; Enterobacteriaceae. The record is from RNAcentral.
CAGGCGGUCUGUCAAGUCGGAUGUGAAAUCCCCGGGCUCAACCUGGGAACUGCAUUCGAAACUGGCAGGCUAGAGUCUUGUAGAGGGGGGUAGAAUUCCAGGUGUAGCGGUGAAAUGCGUAGAGAUCUGGAGGAAUACCGGUGGCGAAGGCGGCCCCCUGGACAAAGACUGACGCUCAGGUGCGAAAGCGUGGGGAGCAAACAGGAUUAGAUACCCUGGUAGUCCACGCCGUAAACGAUGUCGAUUUGGAGGUUGUGCCCUUGAGGCGUGGCUUCCGGAGCUAACGCGUUAAAUCGACCGCCUG